RNAcentral lists this ribosomal RNA (388 nucleotides) under Acerella muscorum. Its description in RNAcentral is "partial 28S ribosomal RNA". The record is from RNAcentral. Lineage: Eukaryota; Metazoa; Arthropoda; Protura; Acerentomata; Acerentomidae.
AAAAUUGCCGAAGCUCGAACGGGAAGAUCUCAGGGCGCCUGCUGAUGGCGGUCACGCGCUGACGGGCGCCAGGUGUGCAGCGGUCCCCUUCGGGGCUGAUUGCGGCCGCCUGGCGUCGCCGGUCGGCGCCGAUGUGCUAGCGCAGGCGCUCGUAUGGCUUCCCCAGUAGGACGUUGCGACCUGUCGGGAUUGUAUAAGAGGCUUUCGUGCGGCCCCGGGGUUGUGCUUCCCCUGUCCGUUUACAUCGCGUCCUCUUCGGAGUCGAUGCGGUGGGCAGGUUGGAGCGGGUCGCGUUCUUCGGGGCGCGAUCUGUUUCAGCCUUCGGUGAGCCGUUGUCUGCCCCGACAGUUGUAUCUACGCGCACCGGUCCGGUCACGCCUUGGUCGCU